Molecule: ribosomal RNA, 497 nt
Filed under: uncultured bacterium
Lineage: Bacteria
Description: partial 16S ribosomal RNA
Rfam family: Bacterial small subunit ribosomal RNA
Source: RNAcentral
GAUGAACGCUGGCGGCGUGCCUAAUACAUGCAAGUCGAGCGAACAGACGAGGAGCUUGCUCCUCUGACGUUAGCGGCGGACGGGUGAGUAACACGUGGAUAACCUACCUAUAAGACUGGGAUAACUUCGGGAAACCGGAGCUAAUACCGGAUAAUAUAUUGAACCGCAUGGUUCAAUAGUGAAAGACGGUUUUGCUGUCACUUAUAGAUGGAUCCGCGCCGCAUUAGCUAGUUGGUAAGGUAACGGCUUACCAAGGCAACGAUGCGUAGCCGACCGGAGAGUGUGAUCGGCCACACUGGAACUGAGACACGGUCCAGACUCCUACGGGAGGCAGCAGUAGGGAAUCUUCCGCAAUGGGCGAAAGCCUGACGGAGCAACGCCGCGUGAGUGAUGAAGGUCUUCGGAUCGUAAAACUCUGUUAUUAGGGAAGAACAAAUGUGUAAGUAACUAUGCACGUCUUGACGGUACCUAAUCAGAAAGCCACGGCUAACUACGUG